Brassica oleracea var. oleracea is the source of this 1086-nucleotide long non-coding RNA. RefSeq lists it as uncharacterized. Lineage: Eukaryota; Viridiplantae; Streptophyta; Magnoliopsida; Brassicales; Brassicaceae. The transcript is spliced from 5 exons. The record is from RefSeq and is a predicted model, not a curated record.
GGAAGAUCGUCGAAGGAUUCAGACAUGGUGGAGAUCGCUCCUCCCACGUUUGUUUCGGGUCCGACAACUCUAGAAAUCCAGAAAGAACAGGACAGAGACCAUGAUCAAGGAGAGAAUCAGAAACUGAGUCUAUAUCAAGCCUUGAGUCUAAAGACCCUCCUUGCAGAUUAUCUGCUUCUGAUAGCUUACAAAGCUAUAUACGUUUGAGUUGCUAUUAUAGUUAAUGUGCACAUUACGAUAAUGCAGAGAUGAAUGUCUGAAUCUCAGUUUUCGGUUGCAACAGCUGAGGAAGAUAAUGAUGAAUAGCAUAAACCAUCAACUCAGGCUCUCAGCUAUCACAAUGUUUCUCAGUCUCAAUCCGUUCAUCCAUAGCAGGAAUUCAGAGUAGUUAUACCAAGACCUAAGCUUUUACCAGGCUUGCAUGUUCAAAGCACCUAUGGUUACAGCCAAAAAUGGUUCUUCCUCUCGGUAUGGUCUCAUGCUCAACUGACAUUGGCCUCCCAUUGUGUCAUAAACAGCUCUGUGGUAACAAUGCUGCCAGUAUCCGCAAUGUGUGAUUGGCAAGUUUGGGCAUACCUGCAAAAUUGUUCACUCCAUGAGCUCUUAUUCUUCUUCCCUAAGCUACAGCCCGAUGGUUUCUUCAGUCAUUGACAUGCCCCUCACACCUUACCCUCUUGAGUCCUCAUUGCUCAGCACAUUAGCUCCAUCAUCAUCAUCCUUAGAUGAAAACGCACAGAGCUUCAGUCUUCGAGCUCCAAGAAAACUCAAAACCACAACACAAGUGGUGGCUCUGAACCGUUGCUGCUGAAGUCUCUCCGUCUUCUUCUUUGACAACCAGCCUGAGCCAUUCUGAUCCUGCUGAGACCAAAAAGAAUACCCAGUUAGCAUUGAGUUUAAGAUUUAGAAGUUAAAGAUACAAAGCUCAAAGGAGAGAACCUCGCUAUACUUCUUCUAUUGUUCCUCUAUCGCUCUUUUCUUUUUAUCAAACUUGCAUGAACUGAGGACAUGAAAGAUGUCUAUAAACUAUAAACAUGUUUGGGACCAAGUAAGAUAGAUUGAACUAUAAUGAGUUUUUUUUAUAUAUGA